RNAcentral lists this ribosomal RNA (468 nucleotides) under uncultured bacterium. RNAcentral's name for it is "partial 16S ribosomal RNA". It matches the Rfam family "Bacterial small subunit ribosomal RNA", at positions 28 to 507 of the family's 1533-position model. The record is from RNAcentral.
GACGAACGCUGGCGGCGUGCUUAACACAUGCAAGUCGAACGGAAAGGCCCUGCUUUUGUGGGGUGCUCGAGUGGCGAACGGGUGAGUAACACGUGAGUAAACUGCCCUUGACUUUGGGAUAACUUCAGGAAACUCGGGCUAAUACCGGAUAGGAGAUCUUGCUGCAUGGUGGGGGUUGGAAAGUUUCGGUGGUUGGGGAUGGACUGGCGGCUUAUCAGCUUGUUGGUGGGGUAGUGGCUUACCAAGGCUUUGACGGGUAGCCGGCCUGAGAGGGUGACCAGCCACAUUGGGACUGAGAUACGGCCCAGACUCCUACGGGAGGCAGCAGUGGGAAGUAUGGCACAAUGGGCGGAAGCCUGAUGCAGCAACGCCGCGUGCGGGAUGACGGCCUUCGGGUUGUAAACCGCUUUCGCAUGUGACGAAGCGUGAGUGACGGUAAUGGGUAAAGAAGCACCGGCUAACUACGUG